UAAUACGAAGGUUGCAAGCGUUGUUCGGAAUCACUGGGCUUAAAGCGCGCGUAGGCGGAAAUACAAGUGUCUUGUGAAAUCCCUCGGCUUAACCGAGGAAUUGCUCGGCAAACUGUAUUUCUUGAGGCAAGUAGGGGUACAUGGAACUCUUGGUGGAGCGGUGAAAUGCGUAGAUAUCAAGAGGAACACCGAAGGCGAAGGCAGCUCUCUGGUCCGUUUCUGACGCUGAGGUGCGAAAGCCAGGGUAGCGAACGGGAUUAGAUACCCCGGUAGUCCUGGCCGUAAACGAUGGGUACUAGUUAGUGGUCCUUCCUGUGGGAUCAUUGGCGAAGCAAAUGUAAUAAGUACCCCGCCUGGGGAGUAUGGUCGCAAGGCUA
Molecule: ribosomal RNA, 377 nt
Filed under: uncultured Planctomycetota bacterium
Lineage: Bacteria; Pseudomonadati; Planctomycetota
Description: bacterial SSU rRNA
Rfam family: Bacterial small subunit ribosomal RNA
Source: RNAcentral